AACGAACGCUGGCGGCAUGCCUAACACAUGCAAGUCGAACGAGACCUUCGGGUCUAGUGGCGCACGGGUGCGUAACGCGUGGGAACCUGCCCUUAGGUUCGGAAUAACUCCCCGAAAGGGGUGCUAAUACCGGAUAAUGUCUUCGGACAAAGGAUUUAUCGCCUUUGGAUGGGCCCGCGUUGGAUUAGCUAGUUGGUAGGGUAAAAGCCUACCAAGGCGACGUUCCAUAGCUGGUCUGAGAGGAUGAUCAGCCACACUGGGACUGAGACACGGCCCAGACUCCUACGGGAGGCAGCAGUGGGGAAUAUUGGACAAUGGGCGAAAGCCUGAUCCAGCAAUGCCGCGUGAGUGAUGAAGGCCUUAGGGUUGUAAAGCUCUUUUACCCGGGAUGAUAAUGACAGUACCGGGAGAAUAAGCUCCGGCUAACUCCGUG
This 433-nucleotide ribosomal RNA is filed under the name uncultured bacterium. Its description in RNAcentral is "partial 16S ribosomal RNA". It matches the Rfam family "Bacterial small subunit ribosomal RNA", at positions 29 to 507 of the family's 1533-position model. The record is from RNAcentral.